Molecule: transfer RNA, 76 nt
Filed under: Oligoflexia bacterium
Lineage: Bacteria; Pseudomonadati; Bdellovibrionota; Oligoflexia
Description: tRNA-His
Rfam family: tRNA
About the family: Transfer RNA (tRNA) molecules are approximately 80 nucleotides in length. Their secondary structure includes four short double-helical elements and three loops (D, anti-codon, and T loops).
Source: RNAcentral
GUGGGUGUAGCUCAGUCGGUAGAGCACUGGAUUGUGGUUCCAGCUGUCGCGGGUUCAAGUCCCGUCAUCCACCCCA